Long non-coding RNA from Pseudoliparis swirei, 621 nucleotides. RefSeq lists it as uncharacterized. The transcript has 2 exons. The record is from RefSeq and is a predicted model, not a curated record. Lineage: Eukaryota; Metazoa; Chordata; Actinopteri; Perciformes; Liparidae.
CAGCCAUGAGAUUUUGUAGUGAUAAUUUUUUUUGUGUGAUGGCAUUGGGGAGAACAAAGCCUCACACUGCAUCAUGCAGAUGGCCUGGCCUGCAUAUCCGGGGGCAACAAAAAAAGAAGACAAAUAAUGUCAACAAAUAGUGACCCACGAGAUCACAGGAGAGUGAACCGGAUCGGCCUUAUUUAAAACGUCAACACAUUGCUGAAGGCCGUACUAAGGGCCGAGGAAUGUUUACGUUUGUUGGCUUGAGCGAGCCGCUUCAAAGCGCCACGAUGAGCGGCUCCGUCUGUAAUCGGCUUCGCUGUGGAAAAAAAAGAGCCCAGAUCCUCUUCCCAGACGCCCAAGCGUCGGGCUGUUAUUGUUUAUGUUGGUUAUGUUGGAGAUGAAGCAUCGUGGUUUACAGGGAGGCGAAGCCCCGCCCUCUUCCGGUGGACCAACGAGGCCAACAUUUUGAUGCUCCCCUGUCUGGGUUGUGCCUGGAAAGACACGUCAUGAUGUUCGGCAAUUUAAUAGAAAAGUUUGCACCCGAGCAAAUUUGCAUUUUCCCCCGGAAAACUGUUGAUAAUACGAUGAUAAAACUGUGAAAGUAAAUUAUUAAAGCUAAGCAGUUAGCUAUCCUGA